UAGAUACCCUGGUAGUCCACGCCGUAAACGUGGCCACUAGGUGUGGGUUCCAACCAACGGAAUCCGCGCCGUCGCUAACGCAUUAAGUGCCCCGCCUGGGGAGUACGGCGGCAACGCUAAAACUCAAAGGAAUUGACGGGGGCCCGCACAAGCAGCGGAGCGUGUUGCUUAAUUCGAUGCAACGCGAAGAACCUUACCUGGGCUUGACAUGCUAGGAAAAGCAGUAGAGAUACUGUGUCCUUCGGGGCCUAGCACAGGUGGUGCGUGGCUGUCGUCAGCUCGUGUCGUGAGAUGUUGGGUUAAGUCCCGCAACGAGCGCAACCCUUAUUCUAUGUUGCCAGCACGUAAUGGUGGGGACUCGUAGGAGACUGCCGGGGUCAACUCGGAGGAAGGUGGGGACGACGUCAAGUCAUCAUGCCCCUUAUGUCCAGGGCUGCAAACACGCUACAAUGGCCGGUACAAAGGGCUGCAAGCUCGUGAGAGUAAGCGAAUCCCAUAAAGCCGGUCUCAGUUCGGAUUGAAGGCUGCAACUCGCCUUCAUGAAGCUGGAGUUGCUAGUAAUCCCGGAUCAGCACGCCGGGGUGAAUACGUUCCCGGGCCUUGUACACACCGCCCGUCACACCACGAAAGUCGGCAACACCCGAAGCCGGUGGCCUACCCUUAGGGAAGGAGCCGUCGAAG
Molecule: ribosomal RNA, 681 nt
Filed under: uncultured Actinomycetes bacterium
Lineage: Bacteria; Bacillati; Actinomycetota; Actinomycetes
Description: bacterial SSU rRNA
Rfam family: Bacterial small subunit ribosomal RNA
Source: RNAcentral